UGUUGGUUAUUUACUAAAGAAGGGUCCCAAAACAUAUCAGGUUCUAUCUUCAUCUUAUUCACAAACAUCAAGGUCAAGAGGAUAGUCGAGCAACUCUAAGGCCACAACUAAAUCAUGUAUCAUUCUGUUUAUUUUCGAGAAGAAGUGCCAUUUUGGCUUCUAAUAUGUUCCUUUCAUGUAAAUAGUUUUAACUACGUGACAUUUUAGGCUAUUCUGAAGAAAUCAAUACAAGUAUAUCGAGAGCAAA
This is a long non-coding RNA of Solanum pennellii, 247 nucleotides long. RefSeq lists it as uncharacterized. NCBI's taxonomy places the organism in Eukaryota, Viridiplantae, Streptophyta, Magnoliopsida, Solanales, Solanaceae. The record is from RefSeq and is a predicted model, not a curated record. The transcript has 2 exons.